This 498-nucleotide ribosomal RNA is filed under the name uncultured bacterium. Its description in RNAcentral is "bacterial SSU rRNA". It matches the Rfam family "Bacterial small subunit ribosomal RNA", at positions 8 to 518 of the family's 1533-position model. The record is from RNAcentral.
AGAGUUUGAUUAUGGCUCAGGAUGAACGCUGGCGGCGUGCUUAACACAUUCAAGUCGAACGGACUUUGAGGGGCUUGCUCUUCAAAGUUAGUGGCGGACGGGUGAGUAACGCGUGAGCAACCUGCCUUUCUCCGGGGGAUAACAUUGGGAAACCGGUGCUAAUACCGCAUAACGUACAGAGAUCACAUGGUCAUUGUACCAAAGAUUUAUCGGGGAAAGAUGGGCUCGCGUCUGAUUAGAUAGUUGGUGGGGUAACGGCCUACCAAGUCGACGAUCAGUAGCCGGACUGAGAGGUCGAACGGCCACAUUGGAACUGAGAUACGGUCCAGACUCCUACGGGAGGCAGCAGUGGGGAAUAUUGGGCAAUGGGCGAAAGCCUGACCCAGCGACGCCGCGUGAAGGAAGAAGGUCUUCGGAUUGUAAACUUCUGUUGACAGGGAAGAAGAAAGCGACGGUACCUGUUCAGAAAGCCACGGCUAACUACGUGCCAGCCGCCGC